UUGUCUGAAUUCCUAACCGGUGAGCUUAUGGCUCUAAGUGAAUUUGAAGGCAUUGUUCAGAAAGAUGAUGGUGCCUGUCAAUUAACUGAACAACUGUGUAUCUAUUGAGAUGAGUUGCUGAAGUUAUUACUCAAUACUGAAUCGACUAUUCUAAUUACCUCAUAUAAGUGGAUUCAAACAUCAUUUAUUCUUGGCAUCUGGCUUACC
This is a long non-coding RNA of Lontra canadensis (Northern American river otter), 207 nucleotides long. RefSeq lists it as uncharacterized. Lineage: Eukaryota; Metazoa; Chordata; Mammalia; Carnivora; Mustelidae. The record is from RefSeq and is a predicted model, not a curated record. The transcript has 5 exons.